AGCGAACGCUGGCGGCAGGCCUAACACAUGCAAGUCGAACGAACCUUUCGGGGUUAGUGGCGGACGGGUGAGUAACACGUGGGAACGUGCCUUUAGGUUCGGAAUAACUCAGGGAAACUUGUGCUAAUACCGAAUGUGCCCUUCGGGGGAAAGAUUUAUCGCCUUUAGAGCGGCCCGCGUCUGAUUAGCUAGUUGGUUGAGGUAAUGGCUCACCAAGGCGACGAUCAGUAGCUGGUCUGAGAGGAUGAUCAGCCACAUUGGGACUGAGACACGGCCCACACUCCUACGGGAGGCAGCAGUGGGGAAUCUUGCGCAAUGGGCGAAAGCCUGACGCAGCCAUGCCGCGUGAAUGAUGAAGGUCUUAGGAUUGUAAAAUUCUUUCAACGGGGACGAUAAUGACGGUACCCGGAGAAGAAGCCCCGGCUAACUUCGUG
This 434-nucleotide ribosomal RNA is filed under the name uncultured bacterium. RNAcentral describes it as "partial 16S ribosomal RNA". It matches the Rfam family "Bacterial small subunit ribosomal RNA", at positions 29 to 507 of the family's 1533-position model. The record is from RNAcentral.